CACCCGCACGCAUACACACAAGGUGGUCAAACGUCGUAUUUUUACGUUUCAGCCAAUUUUACAUCAUUUCCACGCAAAAUUAGACAAUCUAAAGACGAAACGAUUUCAAUGCUUCCAUUCGGAAGGAGAAACGACGUGCUGCGGCGUUUUCAUCACAUGGCAGGCAAUCUAGUAUCUCACUCGCACUGCAGAAACGUCCUGUAGGUUGAGUAGCGUUGCCUGAGAAAAAUGCUCGUAGCGCGCCUAUGAAUGAAAUGAAAACAAGUAAAAGUCAUUGCACUGGUAGUGAUCGACAUACUGAACGUUUUGACGUUAAUUCCAAGAGUGUCCUAGGGGCCCUUCAUGCCGGAUUGGGUUGGACAGACUUGGAUAAAUUCUUCGCUAUGCUGAACAUGCCACGUUAUAAUUUUCAAACAUAUAAACGAUAUGAGGAUGAACUUGGAUUAGUAGCAGAAAAAGUGGCCAAAGAGAGCUGUCAAAGUGCGACUGAGUUAGAAAGGCAGAUGACGCUGGAACAAGCCGCAAUUAUUGAAAAAUCCCUGUAAUUUCAAGUCUCUUUAUUUUUUACAAUUCCGCUGCCAUUGAUUCAAUCACCCCAAUUUAACGUAUUACAUGCAUAAUUGUGUUCCGUCUUUUUGGAGUUAAGUCGAUUUUUUUUUUCAAGUAUUUACAAAUUUACAAAAUAUUUUUUUUAUCGUUUCUUCAA
Diachasma alloeum is the source of this 706-nucleotide long non-coding RNA. RefSeq lists it as uncharacterized. The record is from RefSeq and is a predicted model, not a curated record. Lineage: Eukaryota; Metazoa; Arthropoda; Insecta; Hymenoptera; Braconidae. The transcript is spliced from 3 exons.